CGCUACGGUGAAUACGUUCCCGGACCUUGCACACACCGCCCGUCAAGCCAUGGAAGCCGGGUGUACCUAAAGUCGGUAACCGUAAGGAGCCGCCUAGGGGUAAAAACCGGUGACUGGGGCU
This 121-nucleotide ribosomal RNA is filed under the name uncultured bacterium. RNAcentral describes it as "partial 16S ribosomal RNA". It matches the Rfam family "Bacterial small subunit ribosomal RNA", at positions 1355 to 1482 of the family's 1533-position model. The record is from RNAcentral.